This 556-nucleotide ribosomal RNA is filed under the name uncultured marine eukaryote. Its description in RNAcentral is "SSU rRNA". It matches the Rfam family "Eukaryotic small subunit ribosomal RNA", at positions 618 to 1178 of the family's 1831-position model. The record is from RNAcentral.
GUUAAAAAGCUCGUAGUUGGAUUUCUGUUGAGAAUGGGCGGUCCGCACUACGUGCGUGUAUCUGUUACAGUCUCGGCAUCCUCUUGGAGAACAGUGCUGCUCUUCAUUGCGUGGUCUGGAAUUCAAGACUUUUACUUUGAGGAAAUUAGAGUGUUCACGGCAGGCAAUCGCUUUGAAUACAUUAGCAUGGAAUAAUAAUAUAGGACCUUGGUCCCAUUUUGUUGGUUCCUGGAACUGAGGUAAUGAUUAAUAGGGAUAAUUGGGGGCAUUCGUAUUAACGUGUCAGAGGUGGAAUUCUUGGAUUACGUUACGACGAACUACUGCGAAAGCAUUUGCCAAGGAUGUUUUCAUUGAUCAAGAACGAAAGUUCGGGGAUCGAAGAUGAUUAGAUACCAUCGUAGUCCGAACCAUAAACUAUGCCAACUAGAGAUGGGCGAUCGUUAUUUUAUUGACUUCGUCCGCACCUUAUGAGAAAUCAAAGUCUUUGGGUGCCGGGGGGAGUAUGGUCGCAAGGCUGAAACUUAAAGGAAUUGACGGAAGGGCACCACCAGGAGUG